This 448-nucleotide ribosomal RNA is filed under the name uncultured bacterium. Its description in RNAcentral is "bacterial SSU rRNA". It matches the Rfam family "Bacterial small subunit ribosomal RNA", at positions 335 to 801 of the family's 1533-position model. The record is from RNAcentral.
ACUCCUACGGGAGGCAGCAGUGGGGAAUCUUGGACAAUGGGGGCAACCCUGAUCCAGCCAUGCCGCGUGAGUGAUGAAGGCCUUAGGGUCGUAAAGCUCUUUCGCCUGUGAUGAUAAUGACAGUAGCAGGUAAAGAAACCCCGGCUAACUCCGUGCCAGCAGCCGCGGUAAUACGGAGGGGUUAGCGUUGUUCGGAAUUACUGGGCGUAAAGCGCGCGUAGGCGGAUUAGUCAGUUAGAGGUGAAAUCCCAGGGCUCAACCCUGGAACUGCCUUUAAUACUGCUAGUCUUGAGUUCGAGAGAGGUGAGUGGAAUUCCGAGUGUAGAGGUGAAAUUCGUAGAUAUUCGGAGGAACACCAGUGGCGAAGGCGGCUCACUGGCUCGAUACUGACGCUGAGGUGCGAAAGGUGUGGGGAGCAAACAGGAUUAGAUACCCUGGUAGGAUAGCG